GAUGAAGAACGCAGCGAAAUGCGAUAAGUAAUGUGAAUUGCAGAAUUCAGUGAAUCAUCGAAUCUUUGAACGCACAUUGCGCCCGCCAGUAUUCUGGCGGGCAUGCCUGUUCGAGCGUCAUUUCAACCAUCAAGCCCCCGGCUUGUGUUGGGAACCUGCGGCUGCCGCAGGCCCUGAAAACCAGUGGCGGGCUCGCUGUCACACCGAGCGUAGUAGAUUUUCAUCUCGCUCAGGGCGUGCUGCGGGUUCCGGCCGUAAAAAGCCUUAUUUACCCAAGGUUGACCUCGGAUCAGGUAGGAAGACCCGCUGAACUUAAGCAUAUCAAUAAGCGGAGGA
Molecule: unclassified non-coding RNA, 336 nt
Filed under: soil metagenome
Description: partial contains 5.8S ribosomal RNA, internal transcribed spacer 2, and large subunit ribosomal RNA
Rfam family: 5.8S ribosomal RNA (bases 1-120)
Source: RNAcentral